GAGGAAUGUCAAAAUAUAAAUCCUGAACAUCAUUCUCUGUAAAAACAAUCCUGGCUGAGUUAGGACUAGCAAAGGCCCUCAGCUCUUUGCCGUGGGUCUAAUCAAGGUUACCCUUGAGACCUUCAUUGCAGAAGGACCUAGACCAAUAAUGACAGAAGAAAAGAAUAGAUAAGAACAAAUAAAUGUCAACACAAUAAGGAGAAAACUCACAAUGCCUCUGAUCAUAUAAAAUAAUAUUUGUUGGAAUGAACUCCGGGAAAUGAAAAAAAAAAAAAAAAAGGAGCAAGCUUUGUAGACUUGGGUGCUCACAAAAGGUUAAAACAGUCUGGUCCAAGUCAGUAGCAAACAGGAAAUAACAGCAAACAUCUGAGCACUUACCAUGUGCCAAGAACUGUACUUAAUGUUUCACAUGUAUUAUCUUACUUAAUCCUCAUAAUAUGAUGAGAAAGGUAUAAUUAUUAUCCUGGCUUUACAGUUGAAGAAACUGAGAAUAGAGAAAUAAAUUUACCAACGUAAUCUUUGGCAAAACAAACAUGAGAGCCCUGACUACAGCUCAUUUUAGAAUCCAAGACCCAGGCUUUUAAGUAUAAUGUUAUUAACAGAAAGUUUAAAAUUGUAAUGUAAUCACAUUGGGAUUAUGGAAAAAAGCAGCAUGUAAGAGGGAAAGAGUAGAAAUCUUCCUAUAAUUCAUAUAACAGGAAAUCAAUAGAUGUUGAAAACGGAUACAUCAAGAAAUAUCACUAUAAAAAUUUUAUUUAGGAAUGUGAAGAUUUACACCAGAAAAAAAACAGCUAAAACUGGCCACUUAUAUGGAGCAGAUCUAUAAGUAGAGGACUGUUAUAUUCUUUUACAAGCUGUUUGGUAUUAC
This is a long non-coding RNA of Perognathus longimembris pacificus (Pacific pocket mouse), 868 nucleotides long. RefSeq lists it as uncharacterized. NCBI's taxonomy places the organism in Eukaryota, Metazoa, Chordata, Mammalia, Rodentia, Heteromyidae. The transcript has 3 exons. The record is from RefSeq and is a predicted model, not a curated record.